Molecule: ribosomal RNA, 460 nt
Filed under: uncultured bacterium
Lineage: Bacteria
Description: partial 16S ribosomal RNA
Rfam family: Bacterial small subunit ribosomal RNA
Source: RNAcentral
CCUACGGGUGGCAGCAGUGAGGAAUAUUGGUCAAUGGGCGGAAGCCUGAACCAGCCAAGUAGCGUGCAGGAUGACGGCCCUACGGGUUGUAAACUGCUUUUAUACGGGAAUAACGCGCCUUACGUGUAGGGCUUUGCAUGUACCGUAUGAAUAAGGACCGGCUAAUUCCGUGCCCGCCGCCGCGGUAAUACGGAAGGUCCGGGCGUUAUCCGGAUUUAUUGGGUUUAAAGGGAGCGUAGGCCGCAUGUCAAGCGUGCUGUGAAAUGUGCGGGCUCAACCCGGGCCUUGCAGCGCGAACUGGCGUGCUUGAGUGCGCGGGAAGCAGGCGGAAUUCGUCGUGUAGCGGUGAAAGGCUUAGAUAUGACGAAGAACCCCGAUUGCGAAGGCAGCUUGCUGCAGCGGAACUGACGCUGAUGCUCGAAAGCGCGGGUAUCGAACAGGAUUAGAUACCCGAGUAGUC